AUGCUGGAGGUAUCAGAAGUGCGAAUGCUGACAUAAGUAACGAUAAAGCGGGUGAAAAGCCCGCUCGCCGGAAGACCAAGGGUUCCUGUCCAACGUUAAUCGGGGCAGGGUGAGUCGACCCCUAAGGCGAGGCCGAAAGGCGUAGUCGAUGGGAAACAGGUUAAUAUUCCUGUACUUGGUGUUACUGCGAAGGGGGGACGGAGAAGGCUAUGUUGGCCGGGCGACGGUUGUCCCGGUUUAAGCGUGUAGGCUGGUUUUCCAGGCAAAUCCGGAAAAUCAAGGCUGAGGCGUGAUGACGAGGCACUACGGUGCUGAAGCAACAAAUGCCCUGCUUCCAGGAAAAGCCUCUAAGCAUCAGGUAACAUCAAAUCGUACCCCAAACCGACACAGGUGGUCAGGUAGAGAAUACCAAGGCGCUUGAGAGAACUCGGGUGAAGGAACUAGGCAAAAUGGUGCCGUAACUUCGGGAGAAGGCACGCUGAUAUGUAGGUGAAGUCCCUCGCGGAUGGAGCUGAAAUCAGUCGAAGAUACCAGCUGGCUGCAACUGUUUAUUAAAAACACAGCACUGUGCAAACACGAAAGUGGACGUAUACGGUGUGACGCCUGCCCGGUGCCGGAAGGUUAAUUGAUGGGGUCAGCGCAAGCGAAGCUCUUGAUCGAAGCCCCGGUAAACGGCGGCCGUAACUAUAACGGUCCUAAGGUAGCGAAAUUCCUUGUCGGGUAAGUUCCGACCUGCACGAAUGGCGUAAUGAUGGCCAGGCUGUCUCCACCCGAGACUCAGUGAAAUUGAACUCGCUGUGAAGAUGCAGUGUACCCGCGGCAAGACGGAAAGACCCCGUGAACCUUUACUAUAGCUUGACACUGAACAUUGAGCCUUGAUGUGUAGGAUAGGUGGGAGGCUUUGAAGUGUGGACGCCAGUCUGCAUGGAGCCGACCUUGAAAUACCACCCUUUAAUGUUUGAUGUUCUAACGUUGACCCGUGAUCCGGGUUGCGGACAGUGUCUGGUGGGUAGUUUGACUGGGGCGGUCUCCUCCUAAAGAGUAACGGAGGAGCACGAAGGUUGGCUAAUCCUGGUCGGACAUCAGGAGGUUAGUGCAAUGGCAUAAGCCAGCUUGACUGCGAGCGUGACGGCGCGAGCAGGUGCGAAAGCAGGUCAUAGUGAUCCGGUGGUUCUGAAUGGAAGGGCCAUCGCUCAACGGAUAAAAGGUACUCCGGGGAUAACAGGCUGAUACCGCCCAAGAGUUCAUAUCGACGGCGGUGUUUGGCACCUCGAUGUCGGCUCAUCACAUCCUGGGGCUGAAGUAGGUCCCAAGGGUAUGGCUGUUCGCCAUUUAAAGUGGUACGCGAGCUGGGUUUAGAACGUCGUGAGACAGUUCGGUCCCUAUCUGCCGUGGGCGCUGGAGAACUGAGGGGGGCUGCUCCUAGUACGAGAGGACCGGAGUGGACGCAUCACUGGUGUUCGGGUUGUCAUGCCAAUGGCACUGCCCGGUAGCUAAAUGCGGAAGAGAUAAGUGCUGAAAGCAUCUAAGCACGAAACUUGCCCCGAGAUGAGUUCUCCCUGACUCCUUGAGAGUCCUGAAGGAACGUUGAAGACGACGACGUUGAUAGGCCGGGUGUGUAAGCGCAGCGAUGCGUUGAGCUAACCGGUACUAAUGAACCGUGAGGCUUAACCUUACAACGCCGAAG
RNAcentral lists this ribosomal RNA (1687 nucleotides) under Escherichia coli. Its description in RNAcentral is "bacterial LSU rRNA". It matches the Rfam family "Bacterial large subunit ribosomal RNA", at positions 1270 to 2925 of the family's 2925-position model. The record is from RNAcentral. Lineage: Bacteria; Pseudomonadati; Pseudomonadota; Gammaproteobacteria; Enterobacterales; Enterobacteriaceae.